Molecule: long non-coding RNA, 1699 nt
Filed under: Anas platyrhynchos platyrhynchos (common mallard)
Lineage: Eukaryota; Metazoa; Chordata; Aves; Anseriformes; Anatidae
Description: lncRNA (ENSAPLG00000022492.1)
Source: RNAcentral
AUGCUGGGCGCGGGGGGAGGUGCGAGUAACCUCGGAGUAAAGUCGGAGUAAAGUCGGAGUAACCUCGGAGUAAAGCAGGAGUAGCCUGGGGGGCAAGGUGAGACCUCGGAGUAAGGGGUGUUCAGGCGCAGGGUGAAGUGGGAGUAACCGUGGGGCGCGGUGAAGCGCCAGAGUAAAGGGUGUGUAACUUCUGAGUAAAGUGGGAGUAGGCCUGGAGUAGCCUUUCGCCUCAGAGUAGUGGAGCCCCCCCAGCAGCGGUGUGGGGGGCUCUGAGGAAGGGCUGAGUAACUUUGGAGCAAUGGCUGGCAUGGGAGUAACGCUUACAUGGCCUCAGAGUAAGGGCUGAGCAACCUCUGUGUAUCUGCCAUGAGCUGUAGUAACUGGCUAACAGUGUCACACCUGCCCCAGUCACGGCCUGUAGUAAGGACUGAGCACCCUUGGAGUAACAGAGGAAACGAUGAGUAGUGCCACAGCGAGCAGCGGAAGUUGGCUGAGUAACCUUCGAGUAAGGAACUGAAAGUGCAGCAAGGAAGAAACAAACAGAACGGAACCCAAGAAACCUCUGAGUAAAGGCACUGCAGGGGCUGAGAAACCUCUGAGUAAGCCUUGAGUAGCACAAGGGGAGCCAAAGGGCCUUUAAGAAGGUCAACUAAACAAUGAGUAAGUGUGGAGCAAGGCCCACGUCCCCUCUGAGUAAACCACUGAGGAGCCUCCACAGGAGCCCAGUUACCGGUGUGGAGUGUUGAGAGCCCAGAAGUAACCUGUCAGUAAGGGCUGAGUAGCCUCUGAGUAAAGAGAGGCAGGCUGAGAUGUGUGUAACGCUGGAGUAGUGCCUGAGGAAGGGGCAACGGGGGAGUAAAGCCUUAAAUAGCAUGGGCUGAGUAAAGUCGAAGCAGCUACAAAGGAGCAGGGAGCGAGCGCAUAACCUCAGAGGAAAGGCUGAGUAGUGAGGACAUGGGAGCUGAGUAAAGGCAAAAGGAAGCGGGUGGAGAGAGGGCUGAGUAACCCUGGAGUAAGGUCCAAGUAGUGAUAAAGUACCAAAUAACCCCAAACGAAGGGCUGAGUUAGCCCAGUGUAAUGACACCCACGAGUAACCCUAGAGUAAGGUACGUGUAGUGAUAAAAGUACCAAAUAUGCCAAAAGUAAGGGCCGAGUAAGCCCAGUGUAAGGCCCCCCCCCCCAUAAAUAACCCUGGAUUAGGGGGGCAGACCCUGACCCGUGGCUGAGUAGUGGUGGAGUAACCCUGGAGCAGGAGCUGAGUAACCACGGAAUAAGGAGGAGCUGGGAAACGGGGGAGUUAGGAGGGAGCAGGGACAGCGUAGUGCUGAAAUAAGGCUGGAGUAGGGCAGAGGCAGCCCCACAGCACGGCCUCAGCUCCUCGGUGUAAAGGGGGAGUAAACCCAGAGUAAGGCCACAGAGUAGCCACAGCCUCAGGAGCAAGUGGGGGGGAGGGGGGAACCACUCACCCAGGGCCCCCCCGGGACCGAGGGAGCCCCAAGUAACCUCGGAGUAACCUCGGAGUAACCUCGGAGUAAGCCCGGAGGAAGGGCACAGCCACUCCUCACCCCCCCGAAUGCCCCAGAAGGGGGCCGGGGCCCCACCCACCCCCGGAAGACACGUAGCCCCGCCCCCUUGUAGCCCCGCCCCCUUGUAGCCCCGCCCCCCAUAGACUCUGUAUUGCCUUGAAAAAAUAAACUAA